RNAcentral lists this long non-coding RNA (1103 nucleotides) under Numida meleagris (helmeted guineafowl). RNAcentral describes it as "lncRNA (ENSNMEG00000011564.1)". Lineage: Eukaryota; Metazoa; Chordata; Aves; Galliformes; Numididae. The record is from RNAcentral.
UUCAUUGUGCAAGGUACUUGGAUCCCUGGUUGUAAUUCCACUGUACUUUAAUUUUGCCUUAUGGGAAGAUUCCUUCCUUCUCUUUCCUUAGCAUAGCAUUUCUACUAGCAGCCUUUUUCUUAUAUCGUGACCGUUUAACUACCAUUCCAGGAGAGUGAACAUGAAAGAAAUGUUUCACCAUGAAUUCCUACAGUCUUCAACUAUCAGUGCUCUUUUCAUUCAGCAGCCACAACUGCCAUUACUUCUGCCCACAAGGGAGAGAGCAGUGAUGAAGGCACACAGAAAGGGUAGCUCUGCCUGAAGUGCAAGGCUGCAGACUGGUCCGAUAACAUAACGUCAUGGACUCUGUACCCACCAGACUGCCCCAAGUGAAUCUGAACAACUGCACAUGGAAAUCCCUCAUUUUGGAUGAUUUACCAACUCAGGAUCUCAAAGGCAAUAACUUCAAGCUGUCUUAAGAAGCAAUGAAAUCCAGUGGACAGUGGAGCAGGAUGUCUAUGAAGAGCAUGAGCCUCAUUUACGAUUGCUUGCAUGUUUGGUGCAAAGGAUCAGCAUGGACUCAGCUAGACAGGAUGGAUGCAGAAUGGUGCAGAGAAGAAACAGAUGGGCAACCAGCAAAGCAGCAGUGGGACAAACUUUCUAGAUCUGUUCUCACCUUUUUCUGUGGAGGCCAGGUAGGUUAAUGGAGAGUGUGCAAAAUAAGAGAUAUCUUCACCUUAGCCUUUGCACAUCCAAGCAGAGGCUGAUAAUGCUCUGGACUUGUUAAUGAUUCCUUUUUUUCCUUGACUUGUGAUACCAGAGUCAGUCUUAGUGAGAAGGAGGAAAAGUGUCUGCUAAGUCAAGAAGAAAAAUUUUCUUUAAAAAUCCCUAAUUUCAGAGAAGAAAACAACUCAGUGGAAAAGUGAACUGAAUGGGAUGGUGGUGCAUAGGGAGGAAAUUGAUUUUACUGUCUUCAGUAGUCUAAAGUAUAGGUGUCUAUGACCAGCGCAUGGUCAAUCAACUGUGAUGCUUCUCCAGAAAGUGAUGUAUUUUAUUUUAAAGUUACAUUUUCAAAAGGGUUCAAUCAUGCUGUGAGGUAGUUAUCACCUUCUGCUGAAUAUAGA